AUUGAACGCUGGCGGCAGGCCUAACACAUGCAAGUCGAGCGGAUGAAGCGAGCUUGCUCCUGGAUUCAGCGGCGGACGGGUGUGUAAUUCCUAUGAAUCUGCCUGGUAUUGGUGUAUAACGUCCUGUAACGGGCUCUAAUACCGCAUACGUCCUUAGGGUUAAAUUUUUUGUUCUUCGUACCUCUCGCUAUCUUAUUAGCCUAUGUCGGAUUAGCUAGUUGGUGGGGUAAAGGCCUACCAAGGCCACGAUCCGUAACUGGUCUGAGAGGAUGAUCAGUCAAACGGGAAGUGAGACACGGAAAAGAAGAGUACGGGAGGAAGCAGAGGGGAAUAUUGGAAAAGGGGGGAAAGCAUGAAACAGAAAUGGCGAGGGUGAGAAGAAGGACUUAGGAUUGUAAAGAACGUUAAGGUGGGAGGAAGGGAAGUAAGUGAAAACCUUGAUGUUGUGACGUUAACAAAAGAAUAAGGACCGGCUAACUACGUG
Molecule: ribosomal RNA, 484 nt
Filed under: uncultured bacterium
Lineage: Bacteria
Description: partial 16S ribosomal RNA
Rfam family: Bacterial small subunit ribosomal RNA
Source: RNAcentral